This 1434-nucleotide unclassified non-coding RNA is filed under the name uncultured Neocallimastigales. Its description in RNAcentral is "partial contains small subunit ribosomal RNA, internal transcribed spacer 1, 5.8S ribosomal RNA, internal transcribed spacer 2, and large subunit ribosomal RNA". The stretch from base 661 to 1434 matches the Rfam family "Eukaryotic large subunit ribosomal RNA", at positions 1 to 628 of the family's 3401-position model. The record is from RNAcentral. Lineage: Eukaryota; Fungi; Neocallimastigomycota; Neocallimastigomycetes; Neocallimastigales.
UUUCCGUAGGUGAACCUGCGGAAGGAUCAUUAAAAAAUUGGACUCCAUUGGUGAGUUCAUUAAUAAUCCCUACCCUUUGUGAAUUUGUUUGUUUGAAUAAUUUUUUUUCCAAAAAAAAUUAUUGAAUGUCUUUCCUUGUUUUGGUGGAGCUUGUAAAGUGAAACCAGGCAGGGGAAUGGCAAACAAUAAUUAUUUUUGAAAAAGACCUUUUUUUAAAUUAAACUUUUUGUAUUCAUUUGUCUAAAAUUAAUUUUUAUAAUAUAAAAACAACUUUUGACAAUGGAUCUCUUGGUUCUCGCAACGAUGAAGAACGCAGCAAAAUGCGAUAAGUAGUGUGAAUUGCAGAAUACGUGAAUCAUCGAAUCUUCGAACGCAUAUUGCACUUUUUUAGUUUACUAAAAAAGUAUGUCUGUUUGAGUAUCAGUAAAAUAUUCUCAUAAAAAACAUUGUUUUUUUUAUGGUUAUGAGUGUUUUACAACGAUAACAAGUUGUUUCACUUUAAAUUCUUUGUUAUCAAAAAAAUCAUUAAAAGCUAAUUUUAAAGAUUGUUUAAAAUUGGAUAAAAUUUUCCCGUAAAAAGGAAUAACCUAAACAAUUUUAAAAAAUUAAAAUUGGUUUGAUUUUUUUUGAAACCCAAAGGAAAAAAAAACGAAAUUAACUUGAUCUCAAAUCAGAUAAGAGUACCCGCUGGACUUAAGCAUAUCAAUAAGCGGAGGAAAAGAAACUAACUAGGAUUCCCUCAGUAACGGCGAGUGAAGCGGGAAGAGCUCAAAUUUGAAAUCUUCAAGUUUUACCUUGACGAAUUGUAGUUUAAAGAAGUGUUUUCUGUUGGAGUUUUGGUAAAAGUUCUUUGGAAAAGGACUCAUAGAGGGUGAGAAUCCCGUAUUUGACCAUUAUCUCCAGCUUUGUGAUACACUUUCAAAGAGUCGGAUUGUUUGGGAAUGCAGUCCAAAAUGGGUGGUAAAUUUCAUCUAAAGCUAAAUACUGCGAGAGACCGAUAGCGAACAAGUACCGUGAGGGAAAGAUGAAAAGAACUUUGAAAAGGGAGUUAAACAGUACGUGAAAUUGUCAAAAGGGAAGCGUUUGACACCAGUGUUGUUUUCUCGAAAAUCAAUUAAAAAAGGCCGGAUUUUGUGUUGUAUUGACUUUAUCAGCUUUCUGCACUCUUUUCUUGUCUUUUUUAAUGCACUUUUCGUUUAACAAGUCAACAUCAAUUUCUUUUGUUGUAAAAGGGUCAUUGGAAGGUGGCUUUCUUUCGGAGAAGGUGUUUAUAGCCUUUGGCCUCUGCAAUCGGAGAGAUUGAGGUCUGCAGCGUAGAUCCUUCGGGGUUAGAUACAUUUGUGCUAAGUUAUAGCCUUUCAUAGACAACUUGUUGACUAUGAUCAGUCACGUAGCUUACUCGCUUAUGCUAUUUUACCUACGCUUAGGAUGUUG